GCAGAGGUAGCUAAGCCCGGUUUAAGGCGCCGGCCUUGAGAGCCGGUGGCGCUUUGCGCCGCGGGAGUUCGAAUGGUUCGGACUGCG
This 87-nucleotide transfer RNA is filed under the name archaeon. RNAcentral's name for it is "tRNA-Ser". The record is from RNAcentral.